CACUUAUGUUUGUCUUCAAAUUGUAUAAAUCUUUCGCCUUUUACUAAAAACUUCUGUGGAGAGGAACAACAUGAGUUUCACCUAAUUUUUAAUACCCUGUCUAUAUUAGACAGGGU
Poecilia mexicana is the source of this 116-nucleotide small nuclear RNA. Its record names the gene U5. It matches the Rfam family "U5 spliceosomal RNA". Rfam says of the family: U5 RNA is a component of both types of known spliceosome. The precise function of this molecule is unknown, though it is known that the 5' loop is required for splice site selection and p220 binding, and that both the 3' stem-loop and the Sm site are important for Sm protein binding and cap methylation. Lineage: Eukaryota; Metazoa; Chordata; Actinopteri; Cyprinodontiformes; Poeciliidae. The record is from Ensembl.